This is a non-coding RNA of Pelobates cultripes (western spadefoot toad), 269 nucleotides long. Lineage: Eukaryota; Metazoa; Chordata; Amphibia; Anura; Pelobatidae. The record is from the annotation of a GenBank genome assembly.
GCGUCAUCUCCCGGGUUGCGGAAAAUGGCGGAGGCUCUACAGGAACCCGGGCGGUACUUCUGUCACAACUGCUCGGUUGAGAUCAGCCCCCGGUUCCCGGUGAGACAGAGGGGAUAUUUCGGUAGUAGAAUUAGAGGUCAGGGUGGAUAAGAGGUUGAAAACCCCACUAACCAUGCUGGCUGGGUUGUCAUUGAGUUUCACGUCAAGAUGCUCGGUGGAAUGGGCUAAUCUCCGGGUAAUGGUAAAAACGGAGAAGGGGGUUAUCUACG